This is a non-coding RNA of Vicia faba (fava bean), 255 nucleotides long. The record is from the annotation of a GenBank genome assembly. Lineage: Eukaryota; Viridiplantae; Streptophyta; Magnoliopsida; Fabales; Fabaceae.
AUGGUGGUCUUAAACAAUGUGUGCGACAUUCCUCUAAGUCAGUUGCCCACGCCUUGCCUCAAAGGUGAUAGAUUAGCCAUUACCAUUCCUGAAGAAGAAUACAAACUUGGAGUGGAUGCUUGCAAACACCAUCUUCAUGGGAGGGUCAUAUGGUUAAAAGGUGUUACUCCUCUAACAGUGGUUAACCUAAAAAACAAACUCUUGGAGUUAUGGCCGGCAAUUGGAAAAUGGGGUGUCACCUCACUAGGAAAAUGA